UCACGGAGGGCAGGAGAAGUGAAGAAGUGAGAACUCCAUGGCGCUUGUGGAGUCCUACUAUGGAAGUGGGACUUGGAGCCAGUGUGGAAAUUCCCGAGCAGAACUGGGAGAGGACACGCCCCAGAAAACUUCAGAAGAUGAGUCAGAGAAUCAGAUCAGUGAUGGAAGUGGAGUGCCAAUCCUGAGUCUCACCUCUACUCACGUGCUCAACAUAUCCCUAGAUCCUCAAUUCCCUGGCAAAGGUGAUUAGAUGGAACCACAGACUUCCAAGAGGGGACAGUCAAGCAUUAAAUACGAGAAUGCACAUAUAACUCUUGGUGCAAUGUUUAGCACAUACUAAGCCUGCAAUACAUGCUCAUGCCCUUGAACAAAUCCACAUGGCCAGUUUCUGUGCUCAGGGGUGAGAACAGCUGGGCUGUGAUUGGGGCAGGAGGAGCAAUAGGUGAGGAGGGGCUUCCUCUCUCCAGGCCUGCCAUCUUGACUGACAUGCUGCAGCCCUUGCCAAAAUCCAUGGGUCAGAAUGAAAGUAAAAUGUCGUUGGAAACCUUGCAAUCCACCAUUAAAACUGCGGGGUGUAGUAAAACAAUUGCUUGCCCCAAAUGAAUGACUUAUCCUUGCU
This is a long non-coding RNA of Piliocolobus tephrosceles (Ugandan red Colobus), 619 nucleotides long. RefSeq lists it as uncharacterized. The record is from RefSeq and is a predicted model, not a curated record. NCBI's taxonomy places the organism in Eukaryota, Metazoa, Chordata, Mammalia, Primates, Cercopithecidae. The transcript is spliced from 2 exons.